AACGAACGCUGGCGGCGCGCCUAAUACAUGCAAGUCGAGCGAGAAGACGUAGCAAUACGUUUGUAAAGCGGCGAACGGGUGAGGAAUACAUGGGUAACCUACCCUCGAGUGGGGAAUAACUAGCCGAAAGGUUAGCUAAUACCGCGUACGCUCCUUGGACUUCGGUUCAGGGAGGAAAGCGAUACCGUGGGUAUCGCGCUCUUGGAUGGGCUCAUGUCCUAUCAGCUUGUUGGUGAGGUAACGGCUCACCAAGGCUUCGACGGGUAGUUGGUCUGAGAGGACGAUCAGCCACACUGGCACUGCGACGCGGGCCAGACUCCUACGGGAGGCAGCAGUAAGGAAUAUUGCGCAAUGGGCGAAAGCCUGACGCAGCGACGCCGC
RNAcentral lists this ribosomal RNA (381 nucleotides) under uncultured bacterium. RNAcentral describes it as "bacterial SSU rRNA". It matches the Rfam family "Bacterial small subunit ribosomal RNA", at positions 29 to 400 of the family's 1533-position model. The record is from RNAcentral.